RNAcentral lists this ribosomal RNA (502 nucleotides) under uncultured bacterium. Its description in RNAcentral is "partial 16S ribosomal RNA". It matches the Rfam family "Bacterial small subunit ribosomal RNA", at positions 28 to 523 of the family's 1533-position model. The record is from RNAcentral.
GAUGAACGCUAGCGACAGGCUUAACACAUGCAAGUCGAGGGGCAGCAUAAAAGUAGCAAUACUUUGGUGGCGACCGGCGCACGGGUGAGUAACGCGUAUGCAACCUACCUAUCAGAGGGGAAUAACCCGGCGAAAGUCGGACUAAUACCGCAUAAAACAGGGGCACCGCAUGGUGAUAUUUGUUAAAGAAAUUCGCUGAUAGAUGGGCAUGCGUUCCAUUAGGUAGUUGGUGAGGUAACGGCUCACCAAGCCGACGAUGGAUAGGGGAACUGAGAGGUUGGUCCCCCACACUGGUACUGAGACACGGACCAGACUCCUACGGGAGGCAGCAGUGAGGAAUAUGGUCAAUGGGCGAGAGCCUGAACCAGCCAAGUCGCGUGAAGGAAGAAGGAUCUAUGGUUCGUAAACUUCUUUUGCAGGGGAAUAAAGUGCGGGACGUGUCCUGUUUUGUAUGUACCCUGAGAAUAAGGAUCGGCUAACUCCGUGCCAGCCGCCGCAGUAA